AGAACGACUCUCGGCAACGGAUAUCUCGGCUCUCGCAUCGAUGAAGAACGUAGCAAAAUGCGAUACAUGGUGUGAAUUGCAGAAUCCCGCGAACCAUCGAGUUUUUGAACGCAAGUUGCGCCCGAGGCCUUCUGGUCGAGGGCACGCCUGCCUGGGCGUCACGC
Molecule: ribosomal RNA, 164 nt
Filed under: Amphipogon strictus
Lineage: Eukaryota; Viridiplantae; Streptophyta; Magnoliopsida; Poales; Poaceae
Also listed under: 1 other name
Description: 5.8S ribosomal RNA
Rfam family: 5.8S ribosomal RNA
About the family: 5.8S ribosomal RNA (5.8S rRNA) is a component of the large subunit of the eukaryotic ribosome. It is transcribed by RNA polymerase I as part of the 45S precursor that also contains 18S and 28S rRNA.
Source: RNAcentral